AACCCGACUCCAUGAAGCUGGAUUCGCUAGUAAUCGCGCAUCAGCCACGGCGCGGUGAAUACGUCCCCGGGCCUUGUACACACCGCCCGUCAAGCCAUGGGAGCCGGGGGUGCCUGAAGGCCGUGACCGCGAGGAGCGGCCUAGGGUAAAACUGGUGACUGGGGCUAAGUCGUAACAAGGUAUC
Molecule: ribosomal RNA, 184 nt
Filed under: uncultured bacterium
Lineage: Bacteria
Description: partial 16S ribosomal RNA
Rfam family: Bacterial small subunit ribosomal RNA
Source: RNAcentral